Molecule: ribosomal RNA, 348 nt
Filed under: Triticum aestivum (bread wheat)
Lineage: Eukaryota; Viridiplantae; Streptophyta; Magnoliopsida; Poales; Poaceae
Description: partial small subunit ribosomal RNA
Source: RNAcentral
AUGAUUGUACUCGCCACUAUAUGCACUAAUUUUGACUUGUGUCUUCGGUCAAGCCGGGUUGCAUUGCUCAUAAGUUUGCCCCUUACGUCUCCGCACGUUCGGCUAAGGGUGCCACAGGAGCACCAAUGUGAUUGUUACUUCCGGUUCAACUGGUCAAAUAAAGAAAUCAUUCGGCAUGACGAAAGUAAAGAAAUUCACAAAUCAUGUUGGCUACAAAGGAACUUGAUUCUAAAUCAAGCAUGUACAAUAUGCUUCCACCUUCCAGAUUUCCGAGCUCGCGGCAAGCAAGAAACUGGUCUAAAUGGCCACACCUUGGAACUGGGCCGUUUUGCAGAUCUCCCAAACUAA